GUUAGGAAUAUUGGACAAUGGGCGCAAGCCUGAUCCAGCCAUGCCGCGUGAGUGAUGAAGGCCUUCGGGUUGUAAAGCUCUUUAGCCGAUGAUUAUAAUGACUGUAGUCGGAAAAUAAGCCCCGGCUAACUUCGUGCCAGCAGCCGCGGUAAUACGAAGGGGGCGAGCGUUAUUCGGAAUCACUGGGCGUAAAGCGUGCGUAGGCGGCUUUGCAAGUUGGGAGUGAAAGCCCAGGGCUCAACCCUGGAAUUGCUCUCAAAACUGCAAGGCUCGAAUUCGGGAGAGGAUAGCGGAAUUGUCAGUGUAGCAGUGAAAUGCGUAGAUAUUGACAGGAACACCAGUGGCGUAAGCGGCUAUCUGGACCGAUAUUGACGCUGAGGCACGAAAGCGUGGGGAUCAAACAGGAUUAGAUACCCGAGUAC
RNAcentral lists this ribosomal RNA (422 nucleotides) under uncultured bacterium. Its description in RNAcentral is "partial 16S ribosomal RNA". It matches the Rfam family "Bacterial small subunit ribosomal RNA", at positions 354 to 793 of the family's 1533-position model. The record is from RNAcentral.